Molecule: ribosomal RNA, 575 nt
Filed under: Trichoderma harzianum
Lineage: Eukaryota; Fungi; Ascomycota; Sordariomycetes; Hypocreales; Hypocreaceae
Description: eukaryotic LSU rRNA
Rfam family: 5.8S ribosomal RNA (bases 186-339)
Source: RNAcentral
UCCAACCAAUGUGAACGUUACCAAACUGUUGCCUCGGCGGGAUCUCUGCCCCGGGUGCGUCGCAGCCCCGGACCAAGGCGCCCGCCGGAGGACCAACCAAAACUCUUAUUGUAUACCCCCUCGCGGGUUUUUUUAUAAUCUGAGCCUUCUCGGCGCCUCUCGUAGGCGUUUCGAAAAUGAAUCAAAACUUUCAACAACGGAUCUCUUGGUUCUGGCAUCGAUGAAGAACGCAGCGAAAUGCGAUAAGUAAUGUGAAUUGCAGAAUUCAGUGAAUCAUCGAAUCUUUGAACGCACAUUGCGCCCGCCAGUAUUCUGGCGGGCAUGCCUGUCCGAGCGUCAUUUCAACCCUCGAACCCCUCCGGGGGGUCGGCGUUGGGGAUCGGCCCUCCCUUAGCGGGUGGCCGUCUCCGAAAUACAGUGGCGGUCUCGCCGCAGCCUCUCCUGCGCAGUAGUUUGCACACUCGCAUCGGGAGCGCGGCGCGUCCACAGCCGUUAAACACCCAACUUCUGAAAUGUUGACCUCGGAUCAGGUAGGAAUACCCGCUGAACUUAAGCAUAUCAAUAAGGCGGAGGAA